Molecule: long non-coding RNA, 2184 nt
Organism: Monopterus albus (swamp eel)
Lineage: Eukaryota; Metazoa; Chordata; Actinopteri; Synbranchiformes; Synbranchidae
Exons: 3
Source: RefSeq, a predicted model, not a curated record
CAGAGAGAGAAACAAGACAUAAUAAAGGUACUUAUGGGUAGAAACAAUUACUUGUUGGUUGAUAGUUGUUAAAGAAUUCAUUUGUUAAAUCCAUGAAUAAAUAUGCUGUCCUUUGAAACAAUAAACAACAUUUCUCGUAAGCAAUGCUGACACCUGGUGGAGCAGAAGUUCAAGUGACUGCAGUACUGUGUACAUAUAGUCUAUGUACUGUAGUAUGCACAAUGUGUAUAUGAAUGAGCCAAAGUCAUUCAAAGAACUAAAAAUACUUUGAGGUCCUAGAUAAACAGUAGAAACAUAAAGAAGCAAUAUUUUUCCAGUUGUUUUAUUUUGUCCGCAUUGUUUCCUCUAUUCUGCAAAACAUAAAAGAUACAAGCAUAAUAGCAUGAAGUGUACACCACAUUAAACUGUUCUGUUUUGGUAAAUGAAUCAAAUUUUGUAAUCUAAGUUGACUUCUGUUUUCACCUUUUCAUUAUGCAGUGCCAUAAAGUUAUAUCUGAUACAGUUCAGCAAAUGGUGACAUUUACAAAAUUGUAGUGUUGGGGGCAGAAAGACACUUGGGGGUGUCCCUCAGAAUGCCUUAAGAGGGAAGCACAUGGCGGGAUCCCCCGUAAUGCCUCUCUGGGUGACAUGUAUUUGGUUCAGGGUUGGUGGGGUUGGGUGCUGGGUGUGUCCUGUGUUUGGUCUGUGUGUGGCAAAUAAAAAUCUUGAAUCCUUGAAUCUCUGUUGUUGCAAGUUUGAAUGAAUCAUUUUAGAAAAACAUUUGCAUGUUUUAGUUUCCUUUUUGAUUUUGUCACUUCAGACUAAAAUGUCCUAGCAGGUAACUGCAGAGUCCUAGUCUAUUCUGAUGAUGAUUUUAUGUUGAUUUGUACAUCCAUCCAUCCAUCCAUCAUCUAUACCGCUUAUCCUUGUGUAAAAUUUCAAACUAAUUCUGUCAGAUAUGAGCAAGAUCAUAACAUACUGAGAGGGGGCAAUUAUAGGUUUAUACAUUAUAUAGAGAUACCUUUCUAAUACAUUUAUCUCUUCUGUUCCAUAAAGGUUUCAUUAGUGGCACUAGUUUCAUUUAGUACAAAUGGAGAGAGUGAUUAAGUAGUGUGAUAAAUUUAAGUAUCAUGUUUCCUAUGAUUCAUAGUACUUACGUUGAUCUAGUCUGUACACAUGACAUCGAUUGCUCUUUGGAUUUUGUGGACAAAAACUGUAAAAAAAAAAAAAAAAUCAAAAAGGCAUGGUACUUGUGAAUUUGAAUGUAAGACAUUUUUAGGGUUUUCAGUGACAUUUGAAUAUCCCCAAGCAUUUUCAGUGUUAGGCGUACUCUAACUGAACGUAUAACAGAGCAUUACUUAGCUAUCGCCCACUGCACUGAACAUACUGAGCAUGGUUUUCUGCACUAACUUCUGACUUUCCUUCAGUAAGGGACGUGCACCUCUGCACUGCAUCCACUGUUACUCAGAGAACUGAGCUGUCAUUUCUAGGUAACCUGUGGUAACCCAGUAAAUCACAAUAGCUAGUUUACAGUUUAUGUUAUGUAUGAAGGUUGAUCACAUGUCCAAACUUCAUUAGACUGUCAAACUUACUGGCAGUCUGUCACUUAUUAUUUGACAUAAUUUAACUAAUAACUGAUUGAAUAGAUACAAGUUUCUUCAACAUAGCAGUAUACAUCCUGUUUUCUAUCAAACAGAACUGGUUUGUGGGUGGCCACAGCUUACAUACUUUUUAUACGGUUCAGUUUCCGUUGAGAAGUGAAACAGAUCAACUUGCUCAUCUGUAGAAUGCAAAUGGGAACGGUACAGAAGUCUGAUUUCAUUUUUGUUCUUCACGACAUAGGAAAGGAGUUGGCCUCUUCUAAGUCUGUGAAAUUACUAUAAAUGGUACAAUUCAGAGGAAAUCUCUAAUAGAUAAUUAAUACAACCAACAUGGAUUGGUGUCAAUUAUCGCUUCUUCUCAGUGGACUAACAUGGACCAGCAUAACCAGAAGGACAAACCUAGACUUCAAUCGAGUGUGUGGACAAUAAAGAUGGACGGUCUGGUGUAAUCAUCUAUGCUGAUAAAACUUUCACCAACUCUUCUCAACAAGAUGCCAAAGGGCGAGCAGCUUCUGGCCAUAUACAAGGCCCGUACAGGUACGCAGACAUAAUUUAACCAUGUAAAGCCUGACACAUCAAAAAUUGCCAGAACAAAAAUUUACGA